This 431-nucleotide unclassified non-coding RNA is filed under the name soil metagenome. RNAcentral describes it as "partial contains 5.8S ribosomal RNA, internal transcribed spacer 2, and large subunit ribosomal RNA". The stretch from base 2 to 121 matches the Rfam family "5.8S ribosomal RNA", at positions 35 to 154 of the family's 154-position model. The record is from RNAcentral.
GGAUGAAGAACGUAGCGAAAUGCGAUACGUAAUGUGAAUUGCAGAAUUCAGUGAAUCAUCGAAUCUUUGAACGCAUAUUGCGCUCUCUGGUAUUCCGGAGAGCAUGCUUGUUUGAGUAUCAGUAAACACCUCAACUCCCUUUUCUUUUUUGAAAUUGGAGCUGGACUUGAGUGAUCCCAACGCUUUCUUCCAAGAAAGUGGCGGGUUGCUUGAAAUGCAGGUGCAGCUGAACUUUUCUCUGAGCUAUAAGCAUAUCUAUUUAGUCUGCCUAAAAAACAGAUUAUUACCUUUGCUGCAGCUAACAUAAAGGAGACUAGUUCUUGUGCUGACUGAUGCAGGAUUCACAGAGACAGCUUCGGCUGACUUUGUAAACUCGAUCUCAAAUCAAGUAAGACUACCCGCUGAACUUAAGCAUAUCAAUAAGCGGAGGA